GGAUCAAUGAGUUGGUCGUGCCCUUGGUAUGAACUGGCUUUAUUGGUUCUCACCUUCUAAUGAACCUUAAUGUCAUUCAUUUGAUGUUCUGGGGAAUUAGGACUGUUACCUUGAAAAAAUUAGAGUGUUUAAAGCAGGCUCACGCUUGAAUACAUUAGCAUGGAAUAAUGAAAUAGGACAUCGCAUUCUAUUUUGUUGGUUUCUAGGAUCGAUGUAAUGAUUAAUAGGGAUAGUUG
RNAcentral lists this ribosomal RNA (236 nucleotides) under uncultured Glomus. Its description in RNAcentral is "partial 18S ribosomal RNA". The stretch from base 47 to 236 matches the Rfam family "Eukaryotic small subunit ribosomal RNA", at positions 693 to 884 of the family's 1831-position model. The record is from RNAcentral. RNAcentral also lists the same sequence under 1 other name. Lineage: Eukaryota; Fungi; Glomeromycota; Glomeromycetes; Glomerales; Glomeraceae.